Molecule: ribosomal RNA, 426 nt
Filed under: Pseudomonas fulva
Lineage: Bacteria; Pseudomonadati; Pseudomonadota; Gammaproteobacteria; Pseudomonadales; Pseudomonadaceae
Description: partial 23S ribosomal RNA
Rfam family: Bacterial large subunit ribosomal RNA
Source: RNAcentral
GGUCAAGUGAAGAAGCGCAUACGGUGGAUGCCUUGGCAGUCAGAGGCGAUGAAAGACGUGGUAGCCUGCGAAAAGCUUUGGGGAGUCGGCAAACAGACUGUGAUCCAGAGAUCUCUGAAUGGGGGAACCCAGCCAGCAUAAGCUGGUUAUCUUGUACUGAAUACAUAGGUGCAAGAGGCGAACCAGGGGAACUGAAACAUCUAAGUACCCUGAGGAAAAGAAAUCAACCGAGAUUCCCUUAGUAGUGGCGAGCGAACGGGGACCAGCCCUUAAGUUGAUUUGAGAUUAGUGGAACGCUCUGGAAAGUGCGGCCAUAGUGGGUGAUAGCCCCGUACACGAAAAUCUCUUAUCAAUGAAAUCGAGUAGGACGGAGCACGAGAAACUUUGUCUGAAUAUGGGGGGACCAUCCUCCAAGGCUAAAUACUA